CCGCCCCCAUUGCACCAGCUAGCACACACAUGUACAGCCGGGACCGGGACAGCUCCCCCUUGGAACCAGCCGUGCCUCGUGGGGGGCCGGCCGGCUGGGGGACACCCUUCAAUUCCCCUUCGUCCAAUCGUCCUCCUCCUCCUCCUCCUGUGCCCAUUCAACUCUCGCCGGCCCCCAUCCCAUUCCUACCUUGCUUUCUUGCUUGCUGCAGCUACCUCCUCCUCCUCCUCCUCCUCCUCCAUAUAUACAUACCGACCCUUUCUCUACCUUCCCCUCCCCUCCUCCCUGCACCUCAUCUCAUACCCCAAAAAAGCUGAGAGGUAGCACGGGAGCUAGCUAGCCAUGAGGGUGAGGCUGAGGCACGAAGAUAUACAAGAAGAGAGCGAGGGACAGGAGGUGGUAGGAUCAGAGAGUUUGAGAGAUCUAGCUAAGCCAGCGAGAGGUCAAGGCGGAAAAGCUAGCUAGAGAGAGCAUAGCUAGAUCAGGGGAGCCUUUUCGUCUUUGAGGGGAAUGUUGUCUGGCUCGGGGGCGCCGCCGCUCCGCUCCGCUCCUUCCUUCUCUGGUCUCUCUCUCUCCCCUAGUCUUCGCGCGCUUCCUCAAUCUCCAUCGUCUCUUCCUCCUUCUCUUGGAGACCAGCAGGAGGACGGAGGCGGGUGGUGUAGAUCUCGGACCAGGCUUCAUUCCCCCCAAAAGGAAGGGCUCCCCCAUGAUCUUGAUCUGCGCGCGCACCUCCAUCAGAUGAGCAUGAGCUUCCCUCCAUCCGCUAGCUACCUAUCUUGCUGGGGGCACGUACAUGCAAAUCUGAACCGGUUGUUCAGUUUCUUGGGCGUAUAUGAUAUGGGGAGAUAGAUACUUUACAUAGAUAGAUCUUGUGGCUGCCAUGGUGAAGAACUCAAGACUGAAGAGAGGAUAUUACCUCUAGCUACCUGCAUCCUGCAUGAGAUGCAGAUUGGUGUAAUGAUGGGUGGGCAUGACUGCGCAUGACGGCCACUCCUACUGACCAGUGGGCAUCUGCAGCUGCACACAUACCCAUGGCUCAUGUAUGGUCGUAGUGGGGAUCUUUCUGAUUCUUCUUCUCUCUUUCCCUCGCAAUAAUUACCCUGUGAUGAGCUGACUGAUGAAACAAGAGGGUGCAUGUGUAGAAAGUUGCCAUCAUUAAAAUUUGGCCAUGCAUCUCGAUCUGCUCCCCUCUCAUCCCAUCCAUGCAAAUCCUUCUGAAUAAUCCGUGCUUAGUUUGGAGGUGUACACGUAUCUUUUUAUCCAGGUCUAUAAAAUUUCAAUCCUUAAUUUGCUUCAGUUCUUCUUACCUCUGCCUCAAUCUUUUUGCUUCCUGCAAUACAAUGUUCUGAAAAUACUACUUGAUAUACCCAACUGCUGUUCAAUUUUUUUUUCUUUUUGUUUCCCUCUCUUGAAGCUUUUGUUUACUUGCAUUCUGUGCAUUCUUUAAUUAAACCUGCCUUCUUCUCUGUAUACACAUCACUAUGUUUUCUCUUGUUUGAUAUCUACUCUAUAUGGAUUUAAGCUUACAUGAAUUAGAGCAUGCAUCACAACAGAUUUCAUUAUAUUUUAUUAUUCCAAAUUUAGCAACCAGAUUCUCUAUUAAUUAUGUGCUCUCUGUAGAGUGUAGACCAAUGAAAUUUUCAGUCUCAAAUAGCCAUCAAAUUAAACCCACCGUAUGCAUGAAAGAAAUGAAUGCCAUGUAUAAUUGUUUCCAAUGUAGAUCUAGCAGCAGAAGGAAUCCAAUACACUGUGCACUGUUCAAGUAGGUUUUGUAUUGUUCUUUGCUCUCCAGAUGUUGCAAUAAUUGGUCCUACUCCUAUAUAGGUUUCAGUUUAUGGGAAUGGUGGCAGGCACAUUUUUAUUCUUCUUCCUUUCAUUAGCAAAAACUGUUUCUUGCUGCAUUUAAUUUGGGAGAACUAACGAAAUUAAUAGGUCGAUCUGAAGAGGGAUGUGUAGAGGAAAUUGCUUAUAUAUGCUUUCUUUGCUCUGCUUUCUUGAGAAAAUGAUCACAGUUUGUUGAUACUAUGGUUGGCAUGCAUUGGCACUGUUACAACCUACUGCAUGCUAGCUGCUAAUGAUACUGUGCUCUUUGCUCUGUGAACAUGUAAAGCUUAAUCUACAGGAGAGCUUGUCAUGCAUGAUUUGUAUAUUUAUUAUGAAACAAUAUAAAACACUAAUAUCAAACUGUUGACACGUUACUCCUCCAGUAUGUAAUAGCUAGAGAUGCUUGCAGAUCUUGUCCACUUCUUGGGAACAUGAAUGCAGUAUAGUAUAAGUGAAGCUUGAUUCCUUUUUAUAAUCUUGUAGUAUUGGUAUAUACUAUAUACUACAGUCUACACUAUCAUGUCAGAACCUAGAAGAGAGUAGGAUACAUACAUGUAUAAGUUAUUAUAUUGUUCAGACCUUGACACCGAUCGAUGCAUUGAUUUUGGUGUAACCUUGUUUUGCUAUAUUGAAUAACCAGCUAUUAGCUCUGA
Molecule: long non-coding RNA, 2477 nt
Organism: Sorghum bicolor (sorghum)
Lineage: Eukaryota; Viridiplantae; Streptophyta; Magnoliopsida; Poales; Poaceae
Exons: 2
Source: RefSeq, a predicted model, not a curated record